UCAUAGUUUUGGUGUCUUCACUAUUAUUAUACAAUGUAGAAAAUAGUAAAAAUAAAGAAAAACCCUUGAAUGAGCAGGUGUGUCCAAACUUUUGACUGGUACUGUAUUUACAAUUUCUUUGGGGGGUGCGGGGUUCAAUGUGAAGAGGAGUAUUAUUUAAGAUACUGUUUGAAGAGGUAGGGUUUCAGAUGCUUUCGGAAGAUGGGCAGGGACUCUGCUGUCCUAGCUUCAGGGCGAAACUGGUUCCACUAUUGGGGUGCAAGGACAGAGAAGAACAUGGACUGGGCUGAGCGGGAGCUGCCCUCCCGUACUGGUGGGAGGGCUAAGACACCUGAGGUGGUAGAACAGAGUGUUCUUGCUGUUCCGUAUGUAAGCACCACGGUCUUGUAGUGGAUGCGCACUUCAACUGGAAGCCAGUGGAGCCUGCGGAGGAGCGAGGGGACAUGACAGAACUUGGGAAGGGGAAAAACCAGGCGGGCUGCAGUGUUCUGGAUACGUUGCAGGGGUUUGAUGGGACAUGCGAGGAGUCCUGCCAACAGCGAGUUGCAGUAGUCCAGACGGGAGAGGACAAGUGCCUGGAUUAGGACCUCCACCACUUCCUGUGUGUGGUAGGGUCGUACUCUACGGAUGUUGUAGAGCAUCAAACUGCAAGAGAGAAUGACAGGGUGUUGUCCAGGGUCAUGCCAAGGUUCUUUGCACUCUGGGAGGAUGACACUGUGGAGUUGUCAACCGUGAUGGAGAGGUCUUUGAAUUCCGUCUUGUCGAGGUUGAGCUUGAGGUGGUGGGCUGACAGCCACAUUGAGAUAUCUACCAGGCACGCAGGGAUGCAUGUAGCCACCUGGGUGUCAGAAGGGGGGAAGGAGAAAAGUAGUUGACUGUCAUCCGCAUAGCAAUGAUAGGAGAGACCAUGGAUAUGAUUGAGAGGAGUGACUUGGUGUAUAGAGCGAAGAGGAGAGGGCCUAGAACCGAGCCCUGGGGGACACCAGCAGUCAGAGCAUGUGGUGCAGACACAGAUUCUCUCCACGUCACCUGGUAGGAGCGGCCUGCCAGGUAGGAUGCAAUCCAAGAGUGUUCAGAGCCUAAGAUGCCCAGCUCUGAGAAGGUGGAGAGCUGGAUCUGAUGGUUCACGGUGUCAAAGGCAGCGGAUAGAUCUAGGAGGAUGAAAACAGAGGAGAGAGUCAGCUUUGGGAGUGCGGAGAGCUUCUGUUACACAGAGAAGAGCAGAGUCGGACGAGUGACCCGUCUUGAAGCCUAACUGGUUUGGGUCAAGAAGAUUGUUCCUAGAGGGAUAACGAGAAAGUUGAUCAGAUACAGCAGAUACAGUGUUUUAGAAAGAAAAGAAAGAAGGGAUACAGGUCUAUAGUUUUUGCCAUCAGUUGAGUCCAGUGUUAGUUUCUUGAGGAGGAGAGCAAUUUGGGCCUGUUUGAAGUCAGAGGGGACGCAGCCAGUGGUCAGGGAUGAGUUGAGGGAAGUGAGGAAUGGGAGAAGGUCUCCAGAGAUGUUCUGGAGAAGGGAGGAAGGGAUGGGGUCGACCAGGCAGGUUGUCAGGCGGCCAGACCUCACUAGUCACAGGAUGUCAUCUGGAGAGAGAGGGGAGAAAGAGGUCAAGGUCGUAUGGUAGUUCCAUGUGAGUGAGACCAGUGGACUCAAUACGCUGAGUGAAUGAGUAGCGGAUGUCGUCAACCUUUUUUUCAAAAGUGGUUGACAAAGUCGUCGGCAGAGAGGGGAGGAGGGAGAGGGAGGGGGUGGAAGAUUAAGGAGGGAGGAGAAGGUGGAAAAUAGUUUCCUAGAGAAAUUUAGAGUGGUAGAAAGGACGGAGUCUGUUGCCAUUUGGGAUGCAUCCCAGGUCAGAUCUAGCCUUCCCACACCUCCCCCAUAGAACCUUUUAAAACAGGGCUUCCCAAACUGAAUUCAGGACCCACUAGUGGUCCCUGCUGGCCACAUGUGCGUUGUUACUAAAGACCUGUUUUGUUUAUUUGUUGGGUCACAUGAAAAUGAAACAGGCUUUAGGAGGUUAAGAGUGGGUAGGCGGAAGUGGCUACGGUUAAGUGGUUAUGGUGUGGGAAAGAACUAAACCAUAGAGCUGCAGACUGUGGGAGGAUUUCAUUUCAAUUACAGUACUAAAAACAUCAGCUAGGCUAUAUAAGAGCACUGCUGGUUGUCUUAACUGCCCUCUGAGAACCACACACUAAGAACGUCCUCAGACCUAAACCGAGUUAUGAUUACCGAUUACCACGCAGAACCCUGCCCCACCCUGCACUAAUUAGAGCCUAGAGUACAGUGUGCUUGUGUGUGUGUGAGUUUGUGCAUGUGUGUGUGUGUGUGUGUGUGUGUGUGAGUGUGUGUGUGUGUCAUCGGACCCCCCCUCUAUCUCACACCUAUUAGUGUAAUUAUGAGUCUAACGCUAAAGUGUCAACGCCUGCAGGUCCACAAAGAGAAGAAGAAAGAGAGGAAAAGAGGGAUGAUUGAAUAGACAGACAGAGCUCACAGUUCAUUGCUGUGUGGUGAGUCACACAUUAGGCCAGCAGCAACCUGUUAUGGCCAGUCCCAGUCUGUCUGUCUCUAGGGAGACAGGGAUGGAGAGGAGGAUGAGAGGGGGAGAAGAAUAGAGGAAAGAGGAGGAGGAUAAAGGGAAGGUGGAGUGAAAGAUAAUAGAGAGUUGAGACAGAUAAUAAGAGGGGGGAUUUUAGAGGAAAGAGGAGGAGGAUAAAGGGAAGUUGGAGUGAAGGAUAAUAGAGAGUUGAAACAGA
This is a long non-coding RNA of Oncorhynchus tshawytscha (Chinook salmon), 2750 nucleotides long. NCBI's taxonomy places the organism in Eukaryota, Metazoa, Chordata, Actinopteri, Salmoniformes, Salmonidae. The record is from Ensembl.